UAGGGAAUCUUCCACAAUGGACGCAAGUCUGAUGGAGCAACGCCGCGUGAGUGAAGAAGGUCUUCGGAUCGUAAAGCUCUGUUGUUGGUGAAGAAGGAUAGAGGCAGUAACUGGUCUUUAUUUGACGGUAAUCAACCAGAAAGUCACGGCUAACUACGUGCCAGCAGCCGCGGUAAUACGUAGGUGGCAAGCGUUGUCCGGAUUUAUUGGGCGUAAAGCGAGCGCAGGCGGAAUGAUAAGUCUGAUGUGAAAGCCCACGGCUCAACCGUGGAACUGCAUCGGAAACUGUCAUUCUUGAGUGCAGAAGAGGAGAGUGGAACUCCAUGUGUAGCGGUGGAAUGCGUAGAUAUAUGGAAGAACACCAGUGGCGAAAGGCGGCUCUCUGGUCUGCAACUGACGCUGAGGCUCGAAAGCAUGGGUAGCGAACAGGAUUA
This 434-nucleotide ribosomal RNA is filed under the name uncultured bacterium. RNAcentral describes it as "partial 16S ribosomal RNA". It matches the Rfam family "Bacterial small subunit ribosomal RNA", at positions 355 to 780 of the family's 1533-position model. The record is from RNAcentral.